This 334-nucleotide unclassified non-coding RNA is filed under the name soil metagenome. RNAcentral describes it as "partial contains 5.8S ribosomal RNA, internal transcribed spacer 2, and large subunit ribosomal RNA". The stretch from base 1 to 120 matches the Rfam family "5.8S ribosomal RNA", at positions 35 to 154 of the family's 154-position model. The record is from RNAcentral.
GAUGAAGAACGUAGCGAAAUGCGAUAAGUAAUGUGAAUUGCAGAAUUCAGUGAAUCAUCGAAUCUUUGAACGCACAUUGCGCCCACCAGUAUUCUGGCGGGCAUGCCUGUUCGAGCGUCAUUUCAACCAUCAAGCCCCCGGCUUGUGUUGGGGACCUGCGGCUGCCGCAGGCCCUGAAAAGCAGUGGCGGGCUCGCUGUCACACCGAGCGUAGUAGCACAUCUCGCUCAGGGCGUGCGGCGGGCUCCAGCCGUUAAAGCACCCACCUUUCGCAAGGUUGACCUCGGAUCAGGUAGGAAUACCCGCUGAACUUAAGCAUAUCAAUAAGCGGAGGA